Molecule: long non-coding RNA, 5859 nt
Organism: Cyprinus carpio carpio
Lineage: Eukaryota; Metazoa; Chordata; Actinopteri; Cypriniformes; Cyprinidae
Source: Ensembl
GGUGCCUACAACUUCAGAGAGUACAACAGCAGAAACCACGACUACAGCUUCAUCAACAAUUUCUACAACAACAAACAAUCCAACAUCAAAAGCUGUAACUUCAGCAUCCACAGCUCUCACUUCAACAACAGUGCCUGCAUCUUCAGAAACAACUGCACCUGUAACAACUUCAGUAACUACAGCAUCCUCAACUACUGAAAUUCCUACAACCACAGUUGUGAGUACAGAAACCACACCUAUUACUUCAACAGUGGUGCAUUCAACUUCAGAAAGUACAACACUAGAAACCACGACUACAGCUUCAUCAUCCACACCUGCAACAACAAACAAUCCAACAACAUCAACAGUUGUACCUUCAGAAUCCACAACUCUCACUUCAACAACAUUGCCUACAUCUUCAGAAACAACUGCACCUGUAAAAACAUCAGUAACUACAGCAUCCUCAACUUCUGAAAUUCCCACAAGCACAGUUGUGAGUAAAGAAACCACACCUAUUACUUCAACAGUGGUGCCUACAACUUCAGAGAGUACAACAGCAGAAACCACGACUACAGCUUCAUCAUCCACACCUGCAACAACAAACAAUCCAACAACAUCAACAGUUAUACCUUCAGAAUCCUCAACUCUCACUUCAACAACAUUGCCUACAUCUUCAGAAACAACUGCACCUGUAACAACUUCAGUAACUAAAGCAUCCUCAACUAUCAAAAUUUCCACAACCACAGCUGUGAGUACAGAAACCACACCUAUUACUUCAACAGUGUUGCCCACAACUUUGAAGAGUACAACAGCUGAAACCAUGACUACAGCUUCAUCAACCACACCUACAAAAACGAACAAUCCAACAACAUCAACAUUUGUAACUUCUGAAUCUACAACUCCUACUUCAACAGUUAUAGCUACAUCUUCAGAAACAACUACACCUCUAACAAAAUCAGUAACUACAGCAUCCUCAACUACUGAAAUUCCCACAACCACAGUUGUGAGUACUGAAUCCAUAACUCUUACUUCAACAGCUAAGCCUACAUCUUCAGAAUCUACUGCAACUGUAACAUCAGUAACUACAGUAUCCUCAAAAACCUAUAUUCCCACAACCACGGUUGUGAGAACAGAAACCACACCUAUCAUUUCGACAGUGGUGCCUACAACUUCAGAGAGUACAACGGCAGAAGCUAUGACUACGGCUUCAUCAACUAUAUUUACAGCAAAGAACACUCCAACAACAUCAACAGCUGUAACUUCAGAAUCCUCAACUCUCACUUCAACAACAGUGCCUACAUCUUCAGAAACAACUGCACCUGUAACAACAUCAGUAACUACAGCUUCCUCACCUACAACUGUACCUUCCUCUAUGACAUCAGCUCCAAUGUCAUCUGAAGCUCCAAGUACAACAACAUCUAAAACCACAUUGCUGCUUGCAACCACAUCUACUGGAGCUCUCACAUCCACUGUUGUGACUUCAGGAGCAACAACUCUUACGUCUACAACAAUGCCUACAACAUCAGAAAGUACAACUACACCUGCAGCAAGCACAACUGCAGCUUCCACAGCCACAGUGGGGCCAUCCACUACUGUGACUACAGCUUCCGAAAUUACAACUGCAUCUUCAACAUCUACAGCUUCCUCAGCUGCGAUAGUGCAUUCUACUACUACAUCAUCAUCUCCAACCUCAUCUGAAUCUCGAGGUACAGCAACUAAUUAUCCAACAACAUCAACAGCUGUAAUUUCAACAACAAUGGCUACAUCUUCAGAAACAUCUGCACCUGUAACAACAUCAGUAACUACAGCUUCCUCAUCUAUAAAUGUACCUUCCUCUAUGACAUCAGCUCCAAUGUCAUCUGAAGCUCCAAGUGCAACAACAGCUCAAACCACAAUGCCACUUGCACCUGCAACUACUGAAACACUCACAAUCACCAAAAUGACUUCAGAAACCACAACUGCACCAACAACAUCGAUAACUACAACGUCCACAACUACCACUGUAGCUUCAACGACAACAGCAGCUUCUCUUGCAACAACCACAACUACAGCUUCCAUCACCACAACCAUUCCUUCCACUUCUACAUCAGAUCAAACCACACCUAAGGCUGCAAGUACAACAUCAAAAGGUCCGAACACAAAUUCAGAAAGUAUAACUUCACCUGCUGUAACCACAGAUUCCACAACCAUGAUGGAAUAUUCAACUACUACAUCAAGUUUAACCCCAGCCACAACUACUGAAACCUCAACUCUUACUUCACCAACAAUGUCUACAACUUCAGAAAGUACUCCUGCACCUGCAACAUCCACCAUUACAGCUUCCUCUUCUACGAAUAACUAUCCCACAACAGAAAAUCCAUCUCAAACCUCAACUUCAAUUCCAGGCACAAACACACCUACAGCGGCAACAACAACUGCAUUCCGAAUAACAACUGCACCUCUAUCAACCACAACUAUUGCUUUCACUAAUACAGCUCCAGCUCUAAGCCAAGCAGGACUCCUUACCACAACAAAUGCACCUCCAAUUAUCACAACUGUGUCUCCGGAGACUGUAACUAUUGCUGUAACAAUUAUGCCUAUCUCAUCAUCACAUGUAACUAUAUCCCCAACUUUAACUCCAAUAAAAACAACUGAACCUCCAAGAACCCCAACUACACCCAUUACAACCAUGACUGUUCUUCCCACCACUACAGUUCCAGCUGAUAUCUCAACUACAGCUCCAACCACAACAACAGCCACUAUUCCAAGUUCAACUGCAGCUCAAACAACAACUGCAUUUCAAGUAACAACAGGAGAUCUUUUAAGAACAACUGUAGCUUUUACCAACACAUCUUCUGCUCCAGCCACACUUGCACUUUCAACCAAAACAACUCCAAUCCCAAACAUGGAUUCAGAAACUACAACUGCAUCAACAACUACAACUGGAAUUAAUACAGGUCUCACCAGUGCAGCAGAAUUUCCAAUAGCUCCAAUAACAUCAGUUUCAAACACAAAUGCAUCAACAUCCCCAGCAUCUACAAUUCCAAGUCAAUCAUCAAUCAAAACAACACCAGCUGAAACUCUUUCUAGCAAUACUACACCUCUAAACAAUGCAACAAAAGCAGAUGCAUCUGCAACACUUCAAAGUACUUCAAGUUUGCAACCAGAAACUUCAAACAUACCCAAAACAUUGUCAACAAAUGUGACUGGUGCAGCAACAGUCACAACCAUAUUGGUAUUCUCAUCCUUGUCGUCAGUGCCCAAUGAAAAUUUGGUCCUAGGUGCUAUCAGUACUCUUCUGGAAUCUAGACAGUCCCAACUCAAUGGAUCACUGAAGAUUGUAAAAUUUACUUAUCAGAAAAUCUCAGAAACCUCCUAUGCUGUGGUCUUUACAUUUAACGUGAUUAACAUCACCAUGCCAGAGGAACCUAAGUCUAGAGGCAACACCAACCAGAAAGUGCAGGAUACCAUCAAUAAUGCGCUGAACACUCUUCUGAAUGAACCUGGAAGUCCAAAUUUACAACCCAAGUCAUCAAACUUCACAAGCACUUCAAACCAGAUUGAUGGCAGGAUGGAAUACAGCUUCCAGGAUGGAGAUGUCAUACAACCAGUCAGCUUCCUCAAUGAGCUACGUCUACCAACCACUACAACAGUGUUUCCAGAAACAACAACCAGUGUUUCUGUUACUACUUCAAACCUCAUAUCUGGUUCAGCAGUGGUCACAAGCAAGCUGGUGUUUCAACUCCUCAUCUCCAGUCCCCAGUGAAUCUCUGGUCCUCAAUGCAAUCAAAACUCUGCGUAAUUCCAGAGAGUCACAGCUCAAUGAAUCGGUGAAGGUGGUGAAUGUCACCUAUGAGAAAAUGUCAGAAACCUCCUAUGCUGUGGUCUUUACAUUUAACGUAAUUAACAUCAGCAUGCCAAAGGAACCUGUGUCUAGAGGCAACACCAACCAGAAAGUGCAGGAUACCAUCAAUAAAGCGCUGAAUACUCUUCUGAAUGAACCUGGAAGUCCAACUUUUCAACCAAAGUCAUCAAACUUCACAAGCACUUCAAACCAGAUUGAUGGCAGAAUGGAAUACACCUUCCAGGAUGGAGAUGUCAUACAACCAGUCAGCUUCCUCAAUGAGCUUCGUUCACAGACAGUCUUAACGACAGCCAGCACUCUGACAACUACUCCACUGAUAGUGCGUGGCAAAGCGCUUAUAUUCAUUCGCCUCGUGUUUGUCACACUGGGCCCCCUGCCAAAUCCAGAGAAGGUUCUUGAGGUGGCCAACACUCUGCUUCAGACGCGUCUCAAAACUAAACAAGACACCAGUACUCAAGACCUGAGUGAUCCUGUGAGCUUUGUCAAUGUCACAUAUACAAAAAUAAAUGAGACGGCCUAUGCUCUCAACUUUGGAUUUGAAAUCAGCAAUAUAACCAUGACAGAGAAGCUUGAACUCAGGAAUGGCACCCACCUGUUAAUACAAGACUCUAUAAACUCAUUGCUGGGCAAGAUCCUUCUCAGUAACUCAUCAGCGCCUAUCAUUAAGUUCCAACCAGCUGAUUUCACGGGUAAUUCCACAGUAAUUAAGGCCAAUGUAGAGUAUGUUUUCUCACCAAGUGACAUCACGCAACCCAGCAUCUUUGUUCAGGAACUUCUCCAACUUAAUGAAGCGAGCACUCUGACAAGCACAACUUCACCACCGAUCUUGACUAGGAGGGCAAUUAUUAAGAUUCGUCUGGAGUUUAUCACACUGGGCCCAAGACCAAGUGAGAGUAAUGUUCUACAGGUGGUUAAAUCUAUGCUGGCCACAAAUCUCACAACUAAACUAACCACGAGAGUAACAAGCGUGAGCGAACCUGUGACCUUGAAUAAUGUUGUGUAUAUCGGAAUUAAUGACACCGCCUACGCACUGAUUUUUGCAUUCGAAAUGAACAAAGUAUUACUGACAGAGAUACAAAGGCAAGAAGCCUACAAAGAAAUCCAAAACAAGAUAAAUGAUUUGGUGAAGCAGAUACUAAAGGACCCCUCGGUUAAUCUGCUCAUUCCAGCCGAUUUCAAGGAUGAUCUCCUUGUGAUCGAGGCCAAUGUUACGUAUGUUUUCUCAGAACGUAACAGUAACACGGGCUCCGGUUUCUUGGUCAGUGCCCUUUUCAAGGCUUUUACCACACCAGCUCCAACCACCAUGAACACUACAAUCUCAAACAACAGUACUAAUGCAGCAUGGAUUGUGGCUAUCAUUGUCCCCUGUGCUAUUGUCAUCGGGCUCGUACCUUGCUGGAUUCUCCUUUGCUGUUUGCUGUGUGGUUGCUGUGCAGCAAUCAGAAGACGCUGGCACAGAAGACAGUCGUACAAUGUGCAGUACACCACUCGAAACAGUCUCUUCUAAAGAGUUCUGAGAUAUUUGACAAAAGCAGGACUGAAAACCAAUGAGAACAUAAAAAUCAUGGAUUUUGGAUAUUCAAUAUGCUAUCAAUACUGCUUCUUUUGUAGUAUUGAAAGUACUAUGUUAAUGCUUCUUUAUAAACUAUUUAUUUUAUUAUCCUAGACAAACAGGUCCUCCAUAAAAUAUUCCUUAAUGUGACAUUUUAAUACGUCCUAUAGUCUAUAAUGAAAUUGUAUUAUUGUUAUUUAUUUGUAUUUAUUUGUAAUAUUCUGUUUAUGUUUACAGUUAAUCUUUUGCAAAUCAUUAAUCUGCUUGACAUUACACAUUUUAAUUUAAAGGGACAAAAGGUAGAACAUUAGCUAUUAUUUAUUCAUACUCCAUGCACUUUAACUUUAUAAAUGUAAAGGAAGCUUGUGAUGUAAAGGAAAUGCAAAAAAAGCUCAUUUACGUAAGUCAUUGGCAUGAACAUGUUAAACUGAAAAAUAAAUAAGAAUAAAAACUGUAAUUAGACAAUACUAGAUCAAUAAAGAAU